CGUCUGAGAAACAAACAAAAACAGCCAAAACUUUCAACAACGGAUCUCUUGGCUCUGGCAUCGAUGAAGAACGCAGCGAGAUGCGAUACGUAAUGCGAAUUGCAGAAUUCAGCGAGUCAUCGAAUCUUUGAACGCACAUUGCGCCCGCCAGCAUUCUGGCGGGCAUGCCUGUCCGAGCGUCAUUUCCCCCCUCAGCGCAA
RNAcentral lists this ribosomal RNA (200 nucleotides) under Ophiostoma kryptum. RNAcentral describes it as "5.8S ribosomal RNA". The stretch from base 29 to 182 matches the Rfam family "5.8S ribosomal RNA". From Rfam's summary of the family: 5.8S ribosomal RNA (5.8S rRNA) is a component of the large subunit of the eukaryotic ribosome. It is transcribed by RNA polymerase I as part of the 45S precursor that also contains 18S and 28S rRNA. Lineage: Eukaryota; Fungi; Ascomycota; Sordariomycetes; Ophiostomatales; Ophiostomataceae. The record is from RNAcentral.